AUCAAUAACCGUUAUUUGUGAAUAGUGCAAAUAACAUAAUAUUUUCGUAAUUAAAUCAGUAAGAAAAAUAAAAAAUAAAGUGCAAAUAAUAUAAACUCUGAUUUACUCUUAAUGCACUAUUUAAAGUAAAAUGCAUUGCUCACCACUUUCUGUAUUGAAGUUUAGUUUCCGCGCUUUCCUUUUUGUUCUUAACAAACUAAUAUAAUCAAAAUGGUCCUACGAUUUCAGUGUAUGACAUCCCUUAGAUGCAUGAUUUUUUUUUUCUUUUUUUUCAUAUUAGCUAAAAAUGAUUGUCUGUGCUUUUUUUAGGCUGAAACCACUGAUCUGAAGUCCACUUAUGCAAAGACAAAAGUUACUGUUCUGAAACAACCAGACUUAGCAGCUAGCAACAGCCCAUAGAGCAGUGAGACAAAGGUGGAUUGUCAUGCCUCAGGCAGUAAUUCCUUAUUCGCCAAGUUCCAUAGAUGUUAAAGUAUCUGCAGUGACUACUUGUGAGGUUUGAUGAUUGUUCAGUUUUUCAGACAUGACUUGGAAUUCUUUCAGUUUUCUCUGCAGCAUCCACGAAGAAGUUGGAGGGUUUGUUCAGGGAUUGGGAAUAAAGGUGCUUCAGAAAUCAGAACUGCUCGUCUUCUCUCCAAUUCCUGGAAUAUUUGUGAAUGCUCCAGACUUCAGAGUCUUUACUGAGGAUUAGAGUCACUAAAAAUACAUUAUUCCUAUAAUAUGGGCAUUAGUCGAGAAGAGAAUGGCACGUUUAUGAAGAACUCUCAUCAUAGCCUUCAUUCCUUGGUUGCUGUUAGAAAUUUGAAAACAGCAAGACACCAUCAGGUAGAGUUUUCAUGUCAAUGCGUUUAUUUUUAUUUUUCGGUUUGAUAAAAUUAUGUUUGUAUUCAAAAUUGUAGUAAGUCAACGCCAGAAAAUUUCCGGUCAAUGGACGGAACCGAGAUAAGGUAACAUUAACAUAUUACAAGUAAUAUAAUAGGAGGCAAUCACACAUGAAGUCCUACAUCCGUUUAUUUUUGUUCUUUACGUUUUAUUUUUGGGUGUUUCAAAAUAUUCUUUACAUUUUCUUUUACACAUAAAUGUUUUAGUAUUAUAUCAAAAUUUGUGUCAAAUGAUUAUUUUAACCAAUUAAGUUCAUUGGGUCAUUUAAUCUCUCACACAUUUCUAUUGGGACAUUAAAUUUUUCUCAUUUUCUCAAUAUCAUAAUUUUAAUAAGAGUGAAAACAUUAUAAAUAAACGUAAUUUCUUUGUUUAAAUAAAAAAAUAGAGGAAUCUCAAUACAUAUUAAAUAGUCAUUAAUAAACGAGUAAAAGGCCAAACGUAAAGAACAAAAAGAAACGGAGGGAGUACUACUUAGGAUUAACAAAUGUAUGUUUAAUGUAGCUUAUGGGUAGAAACUAUCAUAAAUUUCUGAAAAACAGGAAUCUAUAGUACUCCCUCCGUCCCAUAAUAUAGUGCCCGUUUGACCAAAAUCACGGUUAUUAAGGUAAAGGAUAACAUUGAUAAUAAAAACAAUAAUGAUUUGUACUUUCAAGAUAAAGUACAUGUUAGUUGGCAAAAAUGGAGAGAUAAAUUAUAGAUUAAAGGUGUGUACAUAAUAAAUAGGCCUAAAAAGGACAAAAAUCAAGCACAUGGGUUGAAUAAAAGUCAAAAAGUACAAUUUUCAAAGUAAAAAUUAAUGGUUUAAAAUAGAAAUAGGCACAUCAUUUAGGGACACCAUUUUAGGAAAACAGGCACUAUAUUAUGGGACGGAGGGAGUAGUUGAUUAUUAUACGUAGUAUUAUAAUUUUAUAAAAGGGCCAUUUUUUUUUUAAAAAAAAUCCGUGAAAUAGUAAUGUAUUCCCUCCUUCCUUUUAGAUUGCUUCGCAUACCAAGACUGGAUGUUACUUUGAAUUUUCCUCAUUCAACUUUUGUAAAUUUUUCCCAUUUGUAAGUUGUUAACACGUACCCCACCCACAACUCCACAAUGGACAUCCCUAUAUGGCUAACCUUUUCCCUCAGCCACAGAAAAGUGAAAUAUCAUAUCACCCCAUUAUUGCCCAUCCGAAUUCGACCCGUGUCGCACACCUUGUUUGUGGUGGGUGAGUUUCUGCAUAAUUGAGUGUACUCUCAUUUAGUUCACACUAUCUGGAUCGUGAGAAAUGGCUUCAUUUGGAAGAGUUGUUAAUGUUGGGUCAAAGGGGAAGCAAGGCUGUAGUGACCGCACGUUCAAGUUGAAAACAAAUAAAAUACCUAGAACCACAAUAGGAAAAUAUAUCUGUAGCAUGGUACACUGGCCAAGUUUUUAUGGCAGCAAACACAACACUUACGGUUUGAAUUGCAGGAAGACAUGCCUAACUGCCAAAGAUUGUGAUCACCAUGUUGGUCUUUGUCACUCAAGCAGACUUGCAAUAUCGUCUGUUUGAGUUUUACAGACAAGCAGCCGAAACAGGGAAUAAUCAGUUCAGGUGACAGAGUUUAUCGCAGAUGAGUUACGAUAUUAAAUUUUAAAAAUGCUAAAGCAUAUUGCUGCUUCAGAGUCUGAUCAUAACAAACUGUAGUGAAGAAGAGGAGAAAACUGAAAACUUUUGGCAAAACGCAAAAAAGCAGUGCCUUGGACAGGCAGGGGAAUCCAGUGCCUCAGGUACGGGGGAUUACUCGACAACUCCUGUUCUGACGACCCUUUUUCAACCCGGUUUGUUCCGGUUUUCAGCUAUGGGUUUUUCCUUGUACUUAUCAGGCACACAUAAAAGGCUCCUUCGUGUUUUAGAAACCUACUCUUCUCUUUUUUUUUCACCUUUCUUCAUCCCAUUGUAAAAUUUCCAAUAGAUACAGAACUUGCAACUCCGCCCUUCAGAUGUAUAAUUACCAGUUCAGUACAGAGCCAAAUAAGCUUAAGGUGUCGUAGCAUUUUUCGUUCUGGUUUUUACGGCACAUAUAUCCCUCAUUCGCAGCUCUACUUCUAGAAACAUCUUUCAUUCUUUCGUUUUCCUUUUGAUUCAUGUAACAGUUGAACCUUCUUUCAUGACUGAUAUAGAAUCAGGCAGCUACUUCACUACUUCUAUGUUGAUCUUAUUUUGUAAUAAACUUUGAUAGAUUGAAUAAAGGCUGUUUGCAGUGACUUCUUAAGA
This is a long non-coding RNA of Spinacia oleracea (spinach), 3110 nucleotides long. RefSeq lists it as uncharacterized. The transcript is spliced from 7 exons. Lineage: Eukaryota; Viridiplantae; Streptophyta; Magnoliopsida; Caryophyllales; Amaranthaceae. The record is from RefSeq and is a predicted model, not a curated record.